CGAAAGCCUGACGGAGCAACGCCGCGUGAGGGAUGAAGGCCUCUGGGCUGUAAACCUCUUUUCUCAAGGAAGAAGAUCUGACGGUACUUGAGGAAUAAGCCACGGCUAAUUCCGUGCCGGCAGCCGCGGUAAUACGGGAGUGGCAAGCGUUAUCCGGAAUCAUUGGGCGUAAAGCGUCCGCAGGCGGCCUUGAAAGUCUGUCGUUAAAGCGUGGAGCUUAACUCCAUUUCAGCGAUGGAAACUACAAGGCUUGAGUGUGGUAGGGGCAGAGGGAAUUCCCGGUGUAGCGGUGAAAUGCGUAGAUAUCGGGAAGAACACCAGUGGCGAAGGCGCUCUGCUGGGCCAUAACUGACGCUCAUGGACGAAAGCCAGGGGAGCG
RNAcentral lists this ribosomal RNA (379 nucleotides) under uncultured cyanobacterium. RNAcentral's name for it is "bacterial SSU rRNA". It matches the Rfam family "Bacterial small subunit ribosomal RNA", at positions 376 to 770 of the family's 1533-position model. The record is from RNAcentral. Lineage: Bacteria; Bacillati; Cyanobacteriota.